UACGUAGGGGGCGAGCGUUGUCCGGAUUUAUUGGGCGUAAAGAGCUCGUAGGCGGUUUGGUAAGUCGGGUGUGAAAUCUCCACGCUCAACGUGGAGGGGCCACUCGAUACUGCCAUGACUCGAGUCCGGUAGAGGAGUGUGGAAUUCCCGGUGUAGCGGUGAAAUGCGCAGAUAUCGGGAGGAACACCAGUGGCGCAAGCGGCUAUCUGGACUGACAUUGACGCUGAGGCACGAAAGCGUGGGGAUCAAACAGG
RNAcentral lists this ribosomal RNA (254 nucleotides) under uncultured bacterium. RNAcentral's name for it is "partial 16S ribosomal RNA". It matches the Rfam family "Bacterial small subunit ribosomal RNA", at positions 524 to 776 of the family's 1533-position model. The record is from RNAcentral.